CCCAGGGACAUCAGAAGAAUAUACAAAUAGGAAACUGGAAGAGUCUAGGGAAAGGGAGGCGCCAGUACUUGUGCUAGAAGCCAUAGUCAAUGAACCGGCUUAAAUGAACAACUUUUUCAACAAAGAUAAUACAACCAGAACAGCUAUUCACACACAACAACCAACAAACAGAAUACAGUCAAGUCAAGUAUUCACAGACAACACCAGAUACUCACAAGUACACAGUCAAGUAAUCACAUAUAAUAUCGAAGAUAAGGACAGAGUUACCCUCCUUCUUCGCGACCGGAGAAUAUCGGCCUUCAAACAACAGAGAAACCUUAGGUAUCAAACCCUAGGUGUAACCUUAAGAACAACUUUACUGGAAAUGUGGUCAGGAACGUCGGAGAGGCACCCAAAACAUCCACUAAGUGAGAAUCGAGCCACCGGAAGGCAGUAAAACUUCAGGUUAAACCACCAGAAACCCUAGAAGCCGAUAGGUCACCCAAAAUCAACCAAAAAUAAUCAUAAAAUCUUCCAGAAUGUUCAGGAGAAGAAAAUACACUCCGAUAUCACGAUGAAAGACUCAGAAAAGUCUCCGAUAGGUCGAAAUCUUCAUCGACCGUGAGGUCUCAGAAAUCACCCCCAAAAACCUCGAAACAGACUUCAUCCAAGACCACGAAGCACAUAGAUGGUCACCCAAAAUCAACCAAAAAUCAUCAUAAAAUCUUCCAGAAUGUUCAGGAGAAUAAAAUACACUACGAUAUCACGAUGAAAGACUCAGAAAAGUCUCCGAUAGGUUGAAAUCAUCAUCGACCGUGAGGUCUCAGAAAUCACCCCCAAAAACCUCGAAACAGACUUCAUCCAAGACCACGAAGCACAUAGAAACAUGAUCGGAUCGUCGUC
Molecule: long non-coding RNA, 882 nt
Filed under: Nicotiana benthamiana
Lineage: Eukaryota; Viridiplantae; Streptophyta; Magnoliopsida; Solanales; Solanaceae
Description: long non-coding RNA (NBEN_LNC016479)
Source: RNAcentral